Molecule: transfer RNA, 74 nt
Filed under: compost metagenome
Description: tRNA-Thr
Rfam family: tRNA
About the family: Transfer RNA (tRNA) molecules are approximately 80 nucleotides in length.
Source: RNAcentral
GCCGGCGUAGCUCAAUUGGUAGAGCACCUGAUUUGUAAUCAGGGGGUUGCGGGUUCGAGUCCUGUCGCCGGCUC